UAAAAUUAAAAAUUUAGUUUUUUUUUAUCAGAAAAUUAAAAAUUUAGUUAUUAGCAAUACAAGAAGCUAUUGGUAUUUAGAAUUCCCUGAAGGGAUCUUGAUCAGACAAAUGAGAAGCUUUAAGCUUAUAGAGAGUGAUAAUCCAUUUGUUCCAACAAAAGUUUAGGCAGAGAUUUAUAUUUUUCUAAUUUAUUAUAUAAUAUAUAUUCUUGGUAGAUAAGCCAUCUGGUAAUAUGGAGGGGAGAUACAAGAAAGCAAUGAAAGGAACAAUUGAGGAAGUAAAACGUCUUCCUCACCAGCAAGCUCCUUGAGCAACUUUGAUUAUUGCCUUUCUGACUUUCUAUCUAGGACCUCUUUUACCCACCCAUUCUCCUUUUUCCACUGCCUGGUAAACUGGUAUUGUUGUUUGUUGAUUUUGUUGUACUCCAUUUUGUAGUUUUCAUGUUUCAUGUUAAAGAUCGCAAAACUGAUAUUUCCACUUGACCAAAAGCAUCUUAGAUGAAAUCACUACAGUGUUCACCAAUUCUGACUUCUGGGUUAUUUGGCUAGUCCAAAAAUUCUGAUUCUUGUUUGAUUAACUGUGAAUACAAUCCAUCUUUGAGUAGAAGUUCUCUGUGGUUACCCAUCUGCAAAAACACAAAUCGCCAAUGAAGUCAUGCACAUGACUUCACGUUAAGCAUGUCCGCAUGCUAUUAGUGAAGAUAAGGUAGGUCUAGUAUUUUAAAGAACUUGAGCAUUUCAGUUUCAUCUGUGCUUCUUCAAAAUAACAGGGCUAUGUUGAUCAGUAAGAAUGCAUUACCUCCACAAUUCGGCCCCCAUCCAUUACAAUGAUCCUAUCAGCAGCUUUUAUGGUAGAAAGCCUGAAAAUUUUUGUCCCGAUGAGGAAAUAAUCUCACAACUUGAACGACAGAAUGACAACGGGUGAGAGGAAAGACCUAUGUGCUAUGACAAUGAUAGUUCUCUUUUCCUUGUCCUCAUUUUUGAACGCUUGAAGAACCUCCUAAACAUGCAAUGUAGCAGCAGAUCAUGUAUUAGUGAGACUGCACUAUCACUGAACUCGGUAUAAUGCUGCUCCUCUCUUGAAAUAGUGUUCACUUUCUGGAUCCAGAGCACUUGUAGCUUCAUCAAAAAUCAGAAUCACAGGGUUCCUAAGAAUGGCUCUUGCAAUAGCAAUUCGCUGCUUCUGUCCACCACUUAGCAAGUCAUCAUCAAUAAGGGUUCCAUAACCAUCAGGAAGUGAUAAAAUGAAUUGAUGAGCAUGGGCUAGCUUUGCAGCACAUUCUAUGUCUUCCUGCUUAAUGUCUCGAUGGCAUCCAUAUGUAAUGUUUGACUUGACAUCAGCGUGGAAGAGCUCUGGCUCCUGCCUGUCCAACAUAUCCUAUGUUUUCUUUGAGCCACCUCAUAUCCAAUUCUCUCAGAGGAAAACCAUCGACAUAAAUCUGACCAUUAAUUGGUUCAUAAAGACGAAGCAAGAGAUUAACUAGCGUGGUUUUUCCACUGCCACUGAGUCCAACCAGUGCAACCACUUCAUUUGCUUCUAUAGAAAGGUGCAAGUGUUCUAGAAUGGGUACCUGUUCAGAUAAAAGAGAAAUUUUGAGAACAAUGAUUGUGUUACAUAAGAAAUGCAGAAGACCAAAUAACAUCACAGAAAGACAUAAACUUGUGUUGUCUUCCACAUGAGGAAGAGGAAGAGGUCCAAAUCGAUUCACAACCAUCUCUCUGAUAUAAUUCUAACCAAGUAGAAAAGAGUUAGCUGAGGGGCAAAUUUGCAAAUGCAAGUCAAUUGAAGCAAGGACAAAACAACAAAAUUGCAACAAAUUUGUAAAAAAAUACCUAGAUCAAUACAAGGAGUUAAAGCAAUUAUGUCAUGCAAUAUUUGUGCAGCAUGUGAGGUACACCAUAUUUGGUUUGUGCCAAUUAACUGCUAUAGAACUGUUUAUGUGAGAGUAGAAGUUUCUAAAUUCAAUUAUGUGGUUCAGAUUUAUGAAAUACAGGAUUGCUAAUCAUUUCUAUUUCUUUGGUAGCCCUUGCAUUUUUUUUAAGCCGACAACCAGGUACUUUCACUGCAACACAGUCAUUAAUUUCUAAAACGAAGAGAGUCUAGUAUACAUAAAACAUAAAUACACAUUAUCUUUUAGACAGUAGAUAAAUCUAAUAUGAAAAUGAUCUAUAACACAAACUUUUUAAAAUAUCUACAACACAGCCACAAUAACCAUUUGUGAAAUCAAGAAGUAUGUUACAUGCUUUACUAAUUUCACCUGGCUUGAUUACAUUUAAGAUUGGAAAUAGCUUUAUAGAAUGCUUGUAGCACAGAAACAGAAAAAUACAAAUAUUUCUAACUUGACAAGACCUGGUACUUACUUUUGGCCUUGAAGGAUAGUGAAAAGAUACAUCUACAAAAUGGAUUUGUCCCAUUAGCCUUUGCAAUUUCAUGCCAUUGGACAGGAAUUGGUUGCUGGGUGAGAGCUGUAUUAACUGGAAAACUUUUUCACUUGCUCCAAUGGCCUGCAGCAAUGAUAAGCUGUUGUCCACCACCCUCCAGGUUGCAUAAAUUAGCCACUCACAGUAUAAUAUGUAUUUUGUAAGUUGUUCAGUUGAUACACGUCCUGUCGUAAUUGACAUUCCUCCUAACAACACUGCUAAAACCUGAGUUGAACGAUAAAGGGUGUGAAAGCUCAUAUUCCAGAAUCCAUAAACCACACUUUCUCGAAAACUAAUAAAAGCUAACUUCUCCAACCAAUGCUUGUACCUUCCAAAUUCUUUUCUCUCUGUUCCAUAAACCCUGACAGUUCUUAUCAAGCAGAGCGUCUCUUCUGCAAUCUCAUUGGCACAAGCAGUGGCAUCCUGAGUCAAUUUGGCAGCUAUCUUCUGAUACCUGGCAAAAAUACGAAAGACAAUAGCCAGAACAGAGCAUAUGACAAGUGAUGACAAUGCAAGAGGCCCAGAUAAACACAGUAAAUUGAUCAAAGCACCUGUCCCCUGAAGGGCAUUGCGUACUAUCAAAUGGAUAUUAUUUCCAAUAACAUGUGAAAGUCGUUGACAAUCUGACCCUAGCCUGCUUGUCAAGCCACCAACUUCUUCUGUAUCAAAAAAGGUUAUAUCCUGAAAAAUAAGAGCUGAAUAUAAAGUUUCUCUGAGACGAUUAACCAGAAUCAUAUUUGCAAUUGCAAAACAUCCACUUCGCAAACCACUGCUUAUUCCUGAAGUCAAGCACAACAUCGCCAACAAAUGUGCAUUCCUAGAGAACGCCAUGGCCUCACCAUUAUUAUCCACUGGUCAUUUCCAAGCAAUUCCCACAUUCGAAGAAGAGCAUCCCUCACUGUAACCGGAUUCCCUGCGCCACCCUCUUCUUCCUUAGAAUCACACAAUCUCCACCAACUGCCGCCGGGCAAAACGGAGCCUAUGUAACUAAUAAAAUUUUGAAAUUUUUCCAAUAAUUUCACUUUCCUGGUGUCUCUGUUUUCCUGCGGUUCAUCCAGCUGGAUACCUAAUGCUUUACAGGGGAAUUUAAAGCCGCGAUAUCUGAUUCUGCAAGAAGAAUUCAGAGGGAAUUGGAAUUUGAAUUGGGAAUCAGUUCUUGUGGCAAUACACGGCUUUUCUGGAUUGAAAACGGCGAGAGAUCUUUUGCCGCCAUUAAGAGAGUAAAGAUUUAAGGGAGGGAUGGCCAUUGAAAGCGCAUGAAGCUUCACAGAGCUACACCAUUAUGGCAGUAGCUUUGGUUUGGGGUCUCAAACGACGUCGGUUUAUUUAUCGGAAGAGCAGUGGACGCGACAAAUCAGCUUGAACGAAUAACUUUAUGCCACGUCAUAAACUCGCAUUAGCUUCUCAGCGUUCUCUGCAACUUUGGUUCCUGAUAGCUUCUUCCAGUUCUUGGAGCUUCUUCUGAUGAUCGAAUUUGAAGUUAUAGCAAAAACAGGGAUCUUUGUUCAAUGAUGGCCCAGACUGAAACGGAGAAGGAGACAGCGACAGGGACAGGGACCCCCAAGAUGAAGCCAAGACCAAUCGUGCGUCUCGGGAUCUUCCUCAUCUCUCACAGCUUCCUUGUUAGUGUCGUUUGUUGUACGGCUGGGGUUUUAGCUCUCUUGCUACUGCCAGUGCUCGCCAAGAACACUUACAUCUCCGAAAAUGCUCUCAUGCCUGGUUCUGCAAGUUCUUUGCUUUCGAAUCAUGACAUUGCGGAGGCAAAUAGAUUGGUGAAUGAAUUAAGAAGCUUGAAUUUGGAACGCAAGGACGCAGGCAUUGAAAGUCAAAAGAUCUUAGCAAGGUAUAUGUCAGAUUUGGGUGCUGAAGUUAGUUAUCACAAGUUCCAUCCACCACAGAAUCAUUUUCAUCCAUUGCAUUUCUUCUCUAGCCCUCAUUCUGGGAUAAUAGGAGAGAACUUUAGUUGUUCAUCUUAUGGUGUCAAUACAGUUGGAAUAAUAAGAUCACCUCGUGGUGAUGGUAAGGAAGCUAUUGUCUUGGUGACACCUUACAAUUUUGGAAGGAGUGAUUCAAGUGAAACUUUAUCAUUGAGCAUUGCAUACUCUGUAUUUUCCUUGCUCAGUCGAGUUACAUGGCUGGCGAAGGAUAUUAUUUGGCUGAUCGCUGAUUCACAGUAUGGUGAACAUGAGUCUGUUGCUGCUUGGCUAAGAGAUUAUCACACACCAUCAUUUACUGGUUUAGUUUCCCUAAAUGCUGAUGCAUGUGUUGAAGGCAAUAAUCUUUAUAUAUCAAAGGAUAAUUCUGUUGUGCAAGGAAAGAUAUCUGAUGGUUUUGGACGUGCUGGGACAAUGGCUGCUGCCCUGGUUUUAAAGGUUACAGAUAGAAAUGGUCUUUGGGAUGACACUCUUAGUAUCUAUGCUGAGGCAUCCAAUGGGCAGAUGCCCAACCUAGACCUCAUCAAUAUUGUGAAUUAUUUAGCUGUACAUAGGCAAGGUUUGCUUGUACAGAUUCAGAAAUUUUGGUCUGAUCUUGAUUUAAAAUGGCUGGAGUUUUUGGGAAAAACAUUUGAAUUACUAGGGAAAGUGGCCAGAAGUUUAAAUCCCAACUGGAAAUUUGGUAUUCCAGCUUCAGAUUAUAUCGAAGGCACUACUACACUUGCAAGUUCAUUGUAUUACCAGGCACUAGGUAUUCCCACAGGUCCCCAUGGUGCUUUCCGUGAUUUCCAAGUUGAUGCAAUUACUUUGGAGAUCUCACCCAGAGUUUCUUCUAAUAACAAAGCCAGGCGUAAUGAGUUUCUUCUGCGAGGUGGAAGGUUGAUUGAAGGAGUUAUAAGAUCAGUAAAUAAUCUCCUCGAGAAGUUUCACCAGUCAUUUUUUCUAUAUCUCUUAACAUCUCCCAGUAAGUUUGUGUCAGUUGGAGUCUACAUGAUUGCUUUUGCACUCCUUGUAGCUCCACUUCCCCUGGUUGCUGCGUCCCUUUAUGCUGAUGCUAAUGAAUUGGAUUUUGGCAUGAAAAAUGACAAAUAUACUCCUAUAGACACUGCAUCAAAUGAGAUAGACAUAACUUUCAGGUCAUGGAAAUGGCUCAGUGCAGCAAAAGAAGUGUUUGUCGUUCAUAUAUGGGGUGUGAUAGUUUUGUUGCUUCCAUAUUUCAUUUGUCAAAUGCGUGAUUGGAGCCCAACAACCAGUUUUGUUUCCUGGGUAUUUCUUGCAAUGCUUAGCCUCCUAAUCUUGUACCUGAUCUUAGGUUCACCAUUUUCUCAUGGCUAUUCAUUGGAGAAAGGGGAAUGGGCUAUGUUAAAAUCAGUGACUAUCUCAGCCGUUUUCAUUGGUUUGCUGCUCAUGUCAGUUGUUAAUUUUGCUACAGCAGAAAUUGGGGCAUUACUAAUGGUGCCAAUGUGUUUGAUGGCUCAACCAUUGAAGCCUGACAUUAGAGCUGCAAGUUUGAGGAGCUUCUUCAGGGUUAUUUGUAACCUGGUUUUGGGUUUUGUUGCAUUUCCACCAGUUACAUUUUUUAUGUUAAAGGGUAUAUUUGAAGGUCCUGACUGCAUUAACCUUGGUGACUUCUGGAAUUGGUUGGAGUCUCUUUGGGCUUGGAACAGUGCUACUUACAUCUAUAUAGGUAUGGUCCACCUACCGUGUUGGGUGUUAUGCAUACACAUUUUACUUCAUUCUUGUUGACACAUUUUCUCAGUUUUGUCUGUUACGUAUGAACUAAACAUGCAAAUCAGUAGAUUAAAGAAAAUUUUCCUUCUAUGUUCUGUCAUCUUUAAAUUGCUUGCUAGUAAUUGAUUUGCAUGGAAGGUGUUUUCCCCAUUUAUUGUUAUUAUUAUUUAAAUUUUUUCUUUGGAAGACAUGCUGUACCGUUAUUGUAUUGAAGUAUCACUGAACAACAAAUAGCUGGC
RNAcentral lists this unclassified non-coding RNA (6325 nucleotides) under Hevea brasiliensis (rubber tree). The record is from RNAcentral. Lineage: Eukaryota; Viridiplantae; Streptophyta; Magnoliopsida; Malpighiales; Euphorbiaceae.